UUUGUUUUAUUUUUAACUGUAAUGUUACCAAAAACACCAAAGCCAGCAUUCUGGAAAUUCGUCAAAGGAAGUGCUAAAGUGUUAUUUAUAGCGGAAGCCUUUGCCUUUGCAGCUUCAUACGGAGUUUAUUAUCGCAUGAAUACUAAUCGUGAAUUCCGUCACUACGUAAACGAAAACUUCCCAUUUGUGUUGGACUACUAUUAUAAAGUAGGUGAAGUUUUAGGUGACAGUAAUUUGCGUAAACUUGAUUCUGCUGUUUGGCGUGCUGAAAAUCAAAAACGAGAAUAAGCAGUCAUAACCAAUUGGGUACCUUAAAGUUUUUUCAAAUCCUAUUCUACUACAUCAAUUAGCACUUUAUUUGUUCAGGCGGAGUUGGCUACGGACUUAUGCUACUGACCGAACCCUCUGAGGAAAAACUAGCCCGUAUUAAAGAGACCGGUGGACCAGCACAUCUAUCCAACGAAGAACUUAAGAAACUACAAUUUAUGCAACGUAUGCGUGAAGCUGCUACCGGAGAAGUACCACCAAUUUACAUGCAGAAAAAA
Molecule: RNA transcript, 545 nt
Organism: Ceratitis capitata (Mediterranean fruit fly)
Lineage: Eukaryota; Metazoa; Arthropoda; Insecta; Diptera; Tephritidae
Gene name: protein CEBPZOS
Exons: 3
Source: RefSeq, a predicted model, not a curated record